RNAcentral lists this ribosomal RNA (253 nucleotides) under uncultured bacterium. Its description in RNAcentral is "partial 16S ribosomal RNA". It matches the Rfam family "Bacterial small subunit ribosomal RNA", at positions 524 to 776 of the family's 1533-position model. The record is from RNAcentral.
UACGAAGGGGGCUAGCGUUGCUCGGAAUUACUGGGCGUAAAGCGCACGUAGGCGGAUUGUUAAGUCGGGGGUGAAAUCCUGGAGCUCAACUCCAGAACUGCCUUCGAUACUGGCGAUCUCGAGUUCGGGAGAGGUGAGUGGAACUGCGAGUGUAGAGGUGAAAUUCGUAGAUAUUCGCAAGAACACCAGUGGCGAAGGCGGCUUACUGGUCCGGUUCUGACGCUGAGGCGCGAAAGCGUGGGGAGCGAACGGG